UAAGGAAUAUUGGUCAAUGGACGCAAGUCUGAACCAGCCAUGCCGCGUGAAGGAUGAAGGUCCUCUGGAUUGUAAACUUCUUUUAUAGGGGACGAAACCCGGGAAUUCUUUCCCGAUUGACGGUACCCUAGGAAUAAGCACCGGCUAACUCCGUGCCAGCAGCCGCGGUAAUACGGAGGGUGCAAGCGUUAUCCGGAUUCACUGGGUUUAAAGGGUGCGUAGGAGGGCAGGGAAGUCAGUGGUGAAAUCUCCGGGCUUAACCCGGAAACUGCCGUUGAUACUCUCUGUCUUGAAUAUGGUGGAGGUGAGCGGAAUAUGUCAUGUAGCGGUGAAAUGCUUAGAUAUGACAUAGAACACCAAUUGCGAAGGCAGCUCGCUACACCUAUAUUGACUCUGAGGCACGAAAGCGUGGGGAUCAAACA
This 422-nucleotide ribosomal RNA is filed under the name uncultured Flavisolibacter sp. RNAcentral's name for it is "bacterial SSU rRNA". It matches the Rfam family "Bacterial small subunit ribosomal RNA", at positions 355 to 774 of the family's 1533-position model. Lineage: Bacteria; Pseudomonadati; Bacteroidota; Chitinophagia; Chitinophagales; Chitinophagaceae. The record is from RNAcentral.